This 2259-nucleotide long non-coding RNA is filed under the name Vitis vinifera (wine grape). RNAcentral describes it as "long non-coding RNA (VVIN_LNC008228)". Lineage: Eukaryota; Viridiplantae; Streptophyta; Magnoliopsida; Vitales; Vitaceae. The record is from RNAcentral.
GAAUUUUCUCUUGGUGACCACCUUCUCAACUAAACUGUAUACCCUCCCUUAAUCUUGAGAAACCCUAAUUCCUGGAGAGAGAAAACUUCCUUUAUCGUUUCUACAAAAAACAAACCUUUUUCGCCAGAGAAUGGGACGAUAGUCACCACACCUUUUUGCUCUAAUCUUUUCGCCAGAGCAAGACCAACCUCAACCCAAUUAUCAAAAUCUGCUAGGCAUUUGCACACCACUGCUCUCUCCCACCUCCCAAUUGGAACAAGGCCUCAUCUUCUCGAUUCUUCUUCUCUGACUACAUUUGCAAAUGAUAGGUACAAAUGACCCACAUGUUUGUGAUUAAAUCUUUCUUCCCUGCACUGACUUCCCUUUUCAUCUAUAUUCGAGAAGGGGACCACCAACAUUGAAGACAACGUACUUUUUAUUUGCUCAUAUCCCCUACCCUUCUCGCCCUCGGGUAUUACCAGGAAAGUUGACUUUCUGUUGGAGGUGAACUCCGAAAGCCUUAUAAACCUCCCAUAGUUGUUGAAGCAUACCUCCAUUAAAUGGACAUUGGAUUUUCCCCCAUAUUUUUUGUUGAAACCCAUGUAACUCUUCAGCUCGAUGGCCUUCGUCAAAUGUUCGAUCAACUAACCAACCUCUUCCUUCUCAAAACUUAAGGCGAAAACAGAACCCCUAUUGUACUCUGUAAGCGAGCACCAUUUUCCACUGGACUGGCCUUCAAGCCUAACCAAGAAGGUUUUCCUCUCCACAGAGACCUUCAACAUCCUUACCAUUCUUUCUAAAAUUAUAUAUAUGAAACCGACCAGAUUAUUACUUUAAAGAAACCUAUUAUUAUUCAAGCACUUAUCUUUUGGAUUUUCUAUUUUUGAAAAACACUUAGGGAAUGACUUAAAUGCUUUUUAGGGAGGGAAUGUAUGUGUGAAUAAAGGUGGUGAUAAUGACGCAAGAUAUAUCACACUAAGGGCAUGACAUGAGGGCUUCAGAACUAAGCAAGGUACGAUGGUGAGCUUUACAACCAUGCACACAUGAACACAAUGUCAAGAAGUGUGGCACAACACAUAAGUGCAAUGAUGGGGGUAAAAUUGUGGCACACGAAUGAGCAUGGUUACCUUGAACUAGAAGGAUUAACAUGGUUGGCACACACAUAGGCCAACAAAGUAACACAAAUCAUGGUUUAAGAAUAUGACUUAGCAACAAAGCAACAUUGUAAGCAUAUAGGCUAAGAGAUGGCUUGACAUGCAUGGAAUACCUAAACACACAAGCAACGGCACAAAAGAGGCUGACUAGACACUUGAGUAAAAUUAUACUAAUGAACUCAAAACCAAACAUAGACUAACACAUGGAAGACUCCUUAGCAUUAGGGUCAACUUGAAGGAAGAAAUGCACCUUGGCAUUAGGGUAGCUUAAGUAAAGGUAGGGUUUGACACAUGAUGUGUUGAGAUAGGAAAUCACUUGACACAAGUCAAACCAAUCUCAGGUUGUUGAGCUUGAGUAUAGACAACAUUGAUCAAGGGACAAACAUUACAUGUUGACUAAAGGCUUUGCAUCAGUCAAGGGAUAAGUGGCAAAUUGUUGAAGCAUUGAGAAAGCUGAAGACAUUAUUCAAAUUUGAGUUUGAAUUUUAGUAGUUUGUUCCUAGAUAGAUAGGAAGUUGUUAGAUGAUAAUGCUUAUAAAUAGUGUACCCACCAAUCAUUCUAAGUAUGAAUUCACCAAUUAUUCUAAAUGUUCUUGUAAAAUCUCUAGACUGAUGCUAGUUGGGCAGGUUUAUCUUAUAAUCUUGUGCUACCUUGUCUCUUUCUUAUUGCUUUCUUUAUUGUGAUCUUGUGUGGGUAAAAAUAGGCAGGCUUAGAGAACUCUAAGCGCUGCACAACACAAAAAUUGUGAGGAAAAUUCAUGCUCGUGACAAAGAUCCAUUAUACACGGUUGCAGUACAGUUGGCAUAGAAGUGAGAAAUUGAUCGUAAGAGUUAUGAGAUUCAAACAAAAUGCAUAGAUUGAGAAGCCAAGAUUCAUGAGGAUGUUUGAUAUGAUCAAAUCCUGCGAGUGAGUCAUCUUUGUGAGCUUAUGCGUAUACAUACAAGGGCCAUGUUUUCUGCGCAUAAGUCACAUUUAAGUGCCAAGCCACAUAGAACAGAUUCAACUGAGCAUCAGGAGUUUAUACAGAAACUCCACAGCCAAACACUGUCGAACUUCAGGUACACUUUGGUGGCGCCUGGAAGCAUUUAAGUCUCGGAAUUCGCAUGGCGUUGCAUGGCGCGGCGA